Molecule: ribosomal RNA, 640 nt
Filed under: Psychotria fissicorne
Lineage: Eukaryota; Viridiplantae; Streptophyta; Magnoliopsida; Gentianales; Rubiaceae
Description: eukaryotic LSU rRNA
Rfam family: 5.8S ribosomal RNA (bases 232-387)
Source: RNAcentral
GGUUUCCGUAGGUGAACCUGCGGAAGGAUCAUUGUCGAAUCCUGCCUAGCAGACGACCGCGAACACGUUGUAAAUCGCGGGUUGCGGGCGGGCUUGGGAAACCCUGCCCGUCGGCAAUCUCGCCCCCCUAAACUCUCGGCGCGGAAUGCGCCAAGGACCACUGAAAAGGGAUUGCCCGCGUCGUUGCGGAUUCCGCGAGGCGCGCCGGGCAUCUUGUCGCUUAACAAAAACGACUCUCGGCAACGGAUAUCUAGGCUCUCGCAUCGAUGAAGAACGUAGCGAAAUGCGAUACUUGGUGUGAAUUGCAGAAUCCCGUGAACCAUCGAGUUUUUGAACGCAAGUUGCGCCCGAAGCCAUUAGGCUGAGGGCACGUCUGCCUGGGCGUCACGCAUCCAGUCGCCACCCCCCUCGAGUCUUCGGUGCGGGGUGACGGAAGUUGGCCUCCCGUGCCCUCGGGGCGCGGCCGGCCUAAAAUCGAGUCCUCGGCGCGAGGUGUCACGACAAGUGGUGGUUGAACUCGUCAACUCUUGUGCUGUCGCGACCACGCCCCGACGAGGACUCCCUCGACCCCGGAGCCCCCGACGCAGAGAUUGAGUCGGGAGCCCUCGACCGCGACCCCAGGUCAGGCGGGAUUACCCGC